AAGAAAUUCAGCGUGCCAAUCAUCUCAUGUGCCAUGAGUCGACUCAUGGGUCGACUCAUGAUUUUCAAUCAUGCAUAUCUUUCAACAUACAAGUCCAAAAUUAAUAAAAUUUUCACCAUUGGAUCAUAAAUCUUUUGUUCUAUCAUUUGAUAUCAUCAAAUCAGAGUUUUGGUAAAAUUAUCAUUUUGCCCUUGAGGAGCAAAAAAGGCUU
This 211-nucleotide long non-coding RNA is filed under the name Elaeis guineensis (African oil palm). Its description in RNAcentral is "long non-coding RNA (EGUI_LNC059680)". The record is from RNAcentral. Lineage: Eukaryota; Viridiplantae; Streptophyta; Magnoliopsida; Arecales; Arecaceae.